RNAcentral lists this ribosomal RNA (469 nucleotides) under uncultured bacterium. Its description in RNAcentral is "partial 16S ribosomal RNA". It matches the Rfam family "Bacterial small subunit ribosomal RNA", at positions 28 to 507 of the family's 1533-position model. The record is from RNAcentral.
GAUGAACGCUGGCGGCGUGCUUAACACAUGCAAGUCGAACGGAGAGCACGGGCCUUUCUCUGUGGGACGAGUGGCGAACGGGUGAGUAACACGUGAGCAACCUGCCCCUGACUCUGGGAUAAGCGCUGGAAACGGCGGCUAAUACUGGAUAUGAGACGUGACAGCAUGGGGUGCGUUGGGAAAAAUCGGUCGGUUGGGGAUGUGCUGGCGGCUUAUCCCCUUGUUGGUGAGGUGGUGGCUCACCAGGGCGUCGACGGGUAGCCGGCCUGAGAGGGUGACCGGCCACACUGGGACUGAGACACGGCCCAGACUCCUACGGGAGGCAGCAGUGGGGAAUCUUGCACAAUGGGCGCAAGCCUGAUGCAGCAACGCCGCGUGCGGGAUGACGGCCUUCGGGUUGUAAACCUCUUUUAGCUGGGAAGAAGCGAAAGUGACGGUACCUGCUGAAAAAGCGCCGGCUAACUACGUG